CAAUUCCUGUAACUGUCUCUGAAUUUCAACGGGAUUCAAAACAUGAUCUGUCCCCACGACUUCCGGUAUCGGAGGCGGAGGCGGGUUCACCGGUUCCACCACGGGAUCACGGAUUUUCACCGGCGGAGGUUGAGGGAUCCCCUUUUCAAUCCCAAACAAGGAAUCCAAAUUGUUUGGUGGAAUCACAACUCCACCCGGAGUCGUGCCGGAAUUGAAUGCCUCUACGAACCCUUCCCGCUCCGAUUUCGGCCCUUCGGAACCGAAAUUCCCUAGGUCAG
RNAcentral lists this long non-coding RNA (278 nucleotides) under Gossypium raimondii (Peruvian cotton). Its description in RNAcentral is "long non-coding RNA (GRAI_LNC004228)". The record is from RNAcentral. Lineage: Eukaryota; Viridiplantae; Streptophyta; Magnoliopsida; Malvales; Malvaceae.